GACGAACGCUGGCGGCGUGCUUAACACAUGCAAGUCGAACGGAAAGGCCCUGCUCUUGCGGGGUGCUCGAGUGGCGAACGGGUGAGUAACACGUGAGUAACCUGCCCUUGACUUUGGGAUAACUUCAGGAAACUGGGGCUAAUACCGGAUAGGAGCUCCUGCUGCACGGGGGGGGUUGGAAAGUUUCGGCGGUUGGGGAUGGACUCGCGGCUUAUCAGCUUGUUGGUGGGGUAGUGGCUUACCAAGGCUUUGACGGGUAGCCGGCCUGAGAGGGUGACCGGCCACAUUGGGACUGCGGUACGGCCCAGACUCCUACGGGCGGCAGCAGUGGGGAAUAUUGCACAAUGGGCGGGAGCCUGAUGCAGCAACGCCGCGUGCGGGAUGACGGCCUUCGGGUUGUAAACCGCUUUCGCCUGUGACGAAGCGUGAGUGACGGUAAUGGGUAAAGAAGCACCGGCUAACUACGUG
This 468-nucleotide ribosomal RNA is filed under the name uncultured bacterium. RNAcentral describes it as "partial 16S ribosomal RNA". It matches the Rfam family "Bacterial small subunit ribosomal RNA", at positions 28 to 507 of the family's 1533-position model. The record is from RNAcentral.